This 274-nucleotide ribosomal RNA is filed under the name uncultured bacterium. RNAcentral describes it as "partial 16S ribosomal RNA". It matches the Rfam family "Bacterial small subunit ribosomal RNA", at positions 523 to 796 of the family's 1533-position model. The record is from RNAcentral.
CUACUGAGGGUGCAAGCGUUAAUCGGAAUUACUGGGCGUAAAGCGCACGUAGGCGGUUUAUUAAGUCAGAUGUGAAAGCCCUGGGCUUAACCUGGGAACUGCAUUUGAGACUGGUAGGCUAGAGUAUGGUAGAGGAUAGUGGAAUUCCGGGUGUAGCGGUGAAAUGCGUAGAUAUCCGGAGGAACAUCAGUGGCGAAGGCGGCUAUCUGGACCAAUACUGACGCUGAGGUGCGAAAGCGUGGGGAGCAAACAGGAUUAGAAACCCCAGUAGUCC